UACGGGAGGCAGCAGUGGGGAAUAUUGCACAAUGGGCGCAAGCCUGAUGCAGCCAUGCCGCGUGUAUGAAGAAGGCCUUCGGGUUGUAAAGUACUUUCAGUCGUGAGGAAGGUGUUAAGGUUAAUAACCUUAGCAAUUGACGUUAGCGACAGAAGAAGCACCGGCUAACUCCGUGCCAGCAGCCGCGGUAAUACGGAGGGUGCGAGCGUUAAUCGGAAUUACUGGGCGUAAAGGGCACGCAGGCGGUUAAUUAAGUUGGAUGUGAAAUCCCCGGGCUUAACCUGGGAAUGGCAUUCAAGACUGGUUAGCUAGAGUCUUGUAGAGGGGGUAGAAUUCCAUGUGUAGCGGUGAAAUGCGUAGAGAUGUGGAGGAAUACCGGUGGCGAAGGCGGCCCCUGGACAAAGACUGACGCUCAUGUGCGAAAGCGUGAGGAGCAAACAGGGAUUAGAUA
RNAcentral lists this ribosomal RNA (451 nucleotides) under uncultured bacterium. RNAcentral describes it as "bacterial SSU rRNA". It matches the Rfam family "Bacterial small subunit ribosomal RNA", at positions 340 to 784 of the family's 1533-position model. The record is from RNAcentral.